Long non-coding RNA from Mercenaria mercenaria, 432 nucleotides. RefSeq lists it as uncharacterized. The record is from RefSeq and is a predicted model, not a curated record. The transcript is spliced from 3 exons. Lineage: Eukaryota; Metazoa; Mollusca; Bivalvia; Venerida; Veneridae.
CUCCAGACCUCCAGUAUCAAGAUAUCAUUACGGACCAUCUACACAAGCCGUGUCUAUUGAAAUGACAGCAUAUGGUUCGCUUGCGUUCGUUGAGUCAGGAAAUAUCAUAUAGUCGUUAUUGGUACAACGUUGGUUAAUUGGUCAAAGAAACGCAUAUGGAGGUUUUAUUUCUACACAGGACACCGUUAUUGCUUUGGAAGCUUUUCCUCAAAUCGGUGCUAAAACAGAUGCUGGUGAUCCAAACAUGACGAUAAUGUUCUCAUAUAUAGACACAAAACUGCGAAAAAAGAAAUUUAAUGUCAACACAAGAAAUGCAAUGAAUAUGCAGUUUGUUGAUAUCUCGAUCGAUACAAAGACAAUAAGCAUUCAUGCUUGGGGAAUAAAAGGGUCCACAGAUAUACUUACGGUGCGUAUCCAAAUGAUGAAACUUCG